RNAcentral lists this ribosomal RNA (253 nucleotides) under uncultured bacterium. Its description in RNAcentral is "partial 16S ribosomal RNA". It matches the Rfam family "Bacterial small subunit ribosomal RNA", at positions 524 to 776 of the family's 1533-position model. The record is from RNAcentral.
UACGUAGGGUGCGAGCGUUGUCCGGAAUUAUUGGGCGUAAAGGGUGCGUAGGCGGCCUGACAAGUCUGAUGUGAAAUCCCUGGGCUCAACCCAGGGCCUGCAUCGGAAACUGUCGGGCCUGAGUAUGGGAGAGGUGAGUGGAAUUUCCGGUGUAGCGGUGAAAUGCGUAGAUAUCGGAAGGAACACCUGUGGCGAAAGCGGCUCACUGGACCAUUACUGACGCUGAGGCACGAAAGCUAGGGGAGCAAACAGG